Molecule: ribosomal RNA, 494 nt
Filed under: uncultured bacterium
Lineage: Bacteria
Description: bacterial SSU rRNA
Rfam family: Bacterial small subunit ribosomal RNA
Source: RNAcentral
GAUCAUGGCUCAGGAUGAACGCUGGCGGCGUGCUUAACACAUGCAAGUCGAACGAAGCAACUAUCUUGCUCGCAAGAAAGUUGACUUAGUGGCGGACGGGUGAGUAACGCGUGGGUAACCUGCCUCAUACAGGGGGAUAACAGUUGGAAACGACUGCUAAGACCGCAUAACCCGCUAGUGUCGCAUGACACGGACGGAAAAUAUUUAUAGGUAUGAGAUGGGCCCGCGUCUGAUUAGCUAGUUGGUAAGGUAACGGCUUACCAAGGCGACGAUCAGUAGCCGACUUGAGAGAGUGAUCGGCCACAUUGGGACUGAGACACGGCCCAAACUCCUACGGGAGGCAGCAGUGGGGAAUAUUGGACAAUGGGGGAAACCCUGAUCCAGCGACGCCCGCGUGAGUGAAGAAGUAUUUCGGUAUGUAAAGCUCUAUCAGCAGGGAAGAUAAUGACAGUACCUGACUAAGAAGCCCCGGCUAACUACGUGCCAGCAGCAGC